GAGUCACUGGCCCCGUCCGCAUCCUUCUCCAGCGGCCCCGGGGGCCGCCGCGCCUUAACUCGAUCAGGGCUGCAGCGGCUCGCUGGCUUGACCAGUGCAGAAGGGGCGUGGGUACUAACAGUCUAAGCAGAAAAAGAAGAACAGAUGGUGGUAAGACCUAGAAUGUUUACCCCAUUAAGAUCUAUAUCUGAAUCCAGAAGGAACACCUCAUUGCCGAGAAGAGCCCUGCAGACAGUUCACACCUCUGUUUCUUUUGCAAGAUAUAGCUACCUCAAAAAAUCCUUUCUUGAUCAAACUCUUAUGGCCUGGAAUCCUUGCGUUUCUGCUGAUGACUGUCAUUUUAGAGUACUUACUAAAGACAAUGGUUGGGGAAAUAGAUAUUUUAAAAAUAAGGGAAAAAGUGGGUAGGGUAAACCCAGGCUUACUUAUGUAAACUCUGAGUGCUGAAGUUAGAAGACAACUUUUAAGAUUAAAAAAAAAAAAAAAAAAAAAGAUUUCUGGUAGCCGCCAGAAGCUAAGAACAGAUUCUCCCUCUGAGCCUCCAGAACCCAGAUGACACCUUGAUUUCAGACUUCUGGCCUCCAAAACUGUGAGAGAAGAAAUGUGUUGUUUUAAGGCACCCAGCUGGUGACAGUUCAUCACAGUAGCCACAGGAAACUAAUACCCAGCCCCAUGGCAGGCAUAGGUCAAGCCUGGCACAGUCUGGAUCUCAGUCCCUGACUCAGACCCUGGAUGCUCGCUGCCUUGUACAGAAACAACCUGCUCAACCAAACAGGGUGACCCUGCUGAAGCCGCAAAUGUCCAACAGUCCUGCCAACCGUGGAUGCUUCUGUAGCUUCCCUUUAGCUCUCCCUCCUGGCAUGAAACCAGACACAGACUACCCAGAAGAUGAACUGAGCACUCUGCAAUGGGCCCAGCACGCUGCUGCAUCUGAGACCAUCUUCUCGGCCCUAACAACCCUGGCAGGCUCUUCUCUCUGGUGGGGAAAUUGGGCUUAGGGAAAGGACAUCUUUAGGACAGUCAUCCCACCAAGUAGAAUGACUCUAUGCAGCCUGAAUACUGUUUCCCUGGGAGGAAAAAAAUCCAAAGCAUAAACUUUUAUAAGCUGUUUUAAUUAAAACACUCUUUGUAAAGUGAUGUAUUUGAAGCAAGGGAGGAGAAAGGUUUUCUGGCAAAAGUGUCUUUUGUGGUGUUUCUUUGGUGAGCAAAAGGAACUCAACUGAUGAAAACACCAAAGCACAAACAUUCUGUGGCCAGUAAAGUGGGUGGAGGGGGCAAUGGAGACAACCUCAGGUGGGGCCCAGCUUGUAACGCUGGCAGGGCUCUGUUAAUGUGCUCCAUAAAGGGCUUUGGAGGGCAGGAGGAGCACCACCAACAUUUUAAAUGUGAGGCCAACCAUAAAACGAUUCAUGAUUAGUCCACUAAAAUGUGUUUAUUGGCAAAUAGGAAAGAGAUCCCUGAAAAUAAGCAGGAACAGGUGAUUUUCAAGGCUGACUUAGGUCUCCUAUUCAGCUACUCAACAAUUAUAUCCGAGCUACGUGCAGUGGCUCACCCUGUAAUCCCAGCACUUUGGAGGCUGAGACAAGAGGCGAAAAGUUCGAGACCAGCCUGGGCAACCUAGCGAGACACCAUCUCUAUGAAAAAUUUAAAAAUUAGCCUAGCAUGUGUCUUGUGCCUGUGGUCCCAGCUACUCAGGAGGCUGAGGUGAGAGGAUCACUUGAGCCCCAGAGGUUGAGGUUACAGUGAGCUGUGAUCACACCACUGCACUCCAGUCUGGGUGACAGAGUGAGACACUGUCUCAAGAAAAAACAAAAAUUAAAACAAACAAUAACAACAACAACAACAACAAAAAAAAACGGCAAAGUUAGAACACACAAAAGAUAGUAUAGUUCCUUACCCAUCCACCACUUGGUUUUGAGGAGAAAAGGGAAGUAAGAAGAGUUGAAGAGAAGAAAAACAGAACAGAAGAGUGGGAAAGGAAGAUGAAAGGGUGCUAUGGAGUACUAUGCACCUGUUUAGAAGUGGGGAAGUAGCACAAACACUAGCAAAAGAAGAACCACCAUGGAGUUCCUCCUUGCACAUCUCUCUCCCCUCCUGAAGGCCUAGGGUGAGCCCACAGCAUUGUUCCAGCAGUGAGGGAGUCUUCACUGCCUCCUGAGACUCUCUCACGGCUCUUAAGAUACCUCCCUGAAGUCCCUCCAAAGAAUUCAAUGUGCCCCUAGUCUAAAUCAGUUUCCUCCAUCAUAAAUACUCAUAGAUGACGCAACAAUAAAGCGUUAAUAACGAUAAUGGCAAUUUUGUGUGUCAAACAUUGUAUUAAGCAUUUUACCUGCUUUAUUGUUUGUAAUGCUUCAACAGCUUAUGAGAAGGUAUUAUUAUUUCUACUUCACAGUGCAGAAAAUGAAACCUGAGUAAGUUGUCUUAGAUCACACAGCUGCUAAGCAGUGGCACAGGGAUUUAAGCCCAGGUCCAUCUGAUCAACUCCGAUGGCACAUAAUUGACCUCUGCAUUGUCCCGCCUGCCCACAGGUCACUGCCUCAGUGAUCCAGUCCCAUCCGUUGUUUAGAUAACUGAAUAAGUUAUCCUCGAAUCAUUUAUUGUAAGCCUAGUCUCUCAAGUUUACUGUGAGUCAAGGGCUAGGUCAUAUACCUCUUUUGUGCUCUUCUAUAUCGUGGCAUCCAACCUCUUGCUUGUCAGCUUCCAACUCUGGCUCAACUUAAGGACUUCUUUUCCUGGCAUCUGUCCCUUAUAUGGGAGGUGUUCAUACAAUUCUACUGAUUGUUUUCACCUUACAACUUUUUAUUUUGAAAUACUCUCUUCUAAGUGUUCCUAGUAAAUUUUUUAAAGCCAGCAAGGAAAAAAAAUUCUAUUUAUUGCCAACUAAUUAUAAACAUUAAAACAUCAAUUUAAAAUUUAAAGGAAAAAUGACCUAUAAUACCACCACUAAUAGCAUUUUCAUGUGUUUUAUUCAUUUGUUCUUCAUAUGUAUGUUCUUACAGAGUUGUAAUCAAGACAUACAUAUAGUUUUGUUUUGUUUUGUUUUUUUUA
This 3048-nucleotide long non-coding RNA is filed under the name Homo sapiens (human). Its description in RNAcentral is "HSALNT0295360". The record is from RNAcentral. Lineage: Eukaryota; Metazoa; Chordata; Mammalia; Primates; Hominidae.